Molecule: ribosomal RNA, 253 nt
Filed under: uncultured bacterium
Lineage: Bacteria
Description: partial 16S ribosomal RNA
Rfam family: Bacterial small subunit ribosomal RNA
Source: RNAcentral
UACGUAGGGUGCGAGCGUUGUCCGGAAUUAUUGGGCGUAAAGAGCUCGUAGGCGGCCUGUUACGUCUGCUGUGAAAGCCCGGGGCUCAACUCCGGGUCUGCAGUGGAUACGGGCAGGCUAGAGUCCGGCAGGGGAGACUGGAAUUCCUGGUGUAGCGGUGAAAUGCGCAGAUAUCAGGAGGAACACCGAUGGCGAAGGCAGGUCUCUGGGCUGACACUGACGCUCAUGCACGAAAGCGUGGGGAGCAAAACGG